RNAcentral lists this ribosomal RNA (445 nucleotides) under uncultured bacterium. Its description in RNAcentral is "partial 16S ribosomal RNA". It matches the Rfam family "Bacterial small subunit ribosomal RNA", at positions 354 to 796 of the family's 1533-position model. The record is from RNAcentral.
GUGAGGAAUAUUGCGCAAUGGAGGCAACUCUGACGCAGCCAUGCCGCGUGCAGGAAGAAGGCGCUACGCGUUGUAAACUGCUUUUAACCGGGAAGAAACCCCAGGACGUGUCCUGGGUUGACGGUACCGGAGGAAUAAGCACCGGCUAACUUCGUGCCAGCAGCCGCGGUAAUACGAAGGGUGCAAGCGUUAUCCGGAUUCAUUGGGUUUAAAGGGUGCGUAGGCGGAGCGUUAAGUCAGUGGUGAAAUCCUGCAGCUUAACUGUAGACUUGCCAUUGAUACUGGCGCUCUUGAGUGCGCUUGAAGUGGGCGGAAUGUGCCGUGUAGCGGUGAAAUGCUUAGAUAUGGCACAGAACACCAAUUGCGAAUGCAGCUCACUAAGGCGAUACUGACGCUGAGGCACGAAAGCGUGGGGAUCGAACAGGAUUAGAAACCCCUGUAGUCC